RNAcentral lists this ribosomal RNA (525 nucleotides) under uncultured bacterium. Its description in RNAcentral is "bacterial SSU rRNA". It matches the Rfam family "Bacterial small subunit ribosomal RNA", at positions 355 to 894 of the family's 1533-position model. The record is from RNAcentral.
UAGGGAAUCUUGCGCAAUGGGCGAAAGCCUGACGCAGCAACGCCGCGUGCGGGAAGAAGGCUCUCGGGUUGUAAACCGCUUUCAGUAGGAACGAAUUUGACGGUACCUGCAGAAGAAGGUGCGGCCAACUACGUGCCAGCAGCCGCGGUGACACGUAGGCACCAAGCGUUGUCCGGAUUUAUUGGGCGUAAAGAGCUCGUAGGCGGUUCAGUAAGUCGGGUGUGAAAACUCAAGGCUCAACCUUGAGCGGCCACCCGAUACUGCUGUGACUUGAGUCCGGUAGGGGAGUGGGGAAUUCCUGGUGUAGCGGUGAAAUGCGCAGAUAUCAGGAGGAACACCGGUGGCGAAGGCGCCACUCUGGGCCGAGACUGACGCUGAGGAGCGAAAGCGUGGGUAGCAAACAGGAUUAGAUACCCUGGUAGUCCACGCCGUAAACGUUGGGCACUAGGUGUGGGUUCCAACCAACGGAAUCCGUGCCGUCGCUAACGCAUUAAGUGCCCCGCCUGGGGAGUACGGCCGCAAGGC